GCGUGGCAGCGGCGGCGAUCUUGGAGGAGGGGGCAGGGCGUAAUCCUGACAAGGGCCAAGCGUGAACUAGCCAUUCCGGUUGAAUGAAGAUGUCUGUAUGAAGAAUGUGGUAAUAAGAAGAUAAUGACGUACGGAGAGAGAUGUCGCC
This 148-nucleotide ribosomal RNA is filed under the name uncultured bacterium. RNAcentral's name for it is "partial 16S ribosomal RNA". The record is from RNAcentral.